Oncorhynchus gorbuscha (pink salmon) is the source of this 80-nucleotide non-coding RNA. Lineage: Eukaryota; Metazoa; Chordata; Actinopteri; Salmoniformes; Salmonidae. The record is from the annotation of a RefSeq genome assembly.
GCUGUGAUGGCAGAAAGUUAAGGCGUUGGUUCGAAAAUCCAAUGGGGUCUCCCGCGCAGGUUCGAACCCUGCUCACAGCG